This 115-nucleotide non-coding RNA is filed under the name Salmo salar (Atlantic salmon). RNAcentral describes it as "Eukaryotic large subunit ribosomal RNA". It matches the Rfam family "Eukaryotic large subunit ribosomal RNA", at positions 2207 to 2324 of the family's 3401-position model. The record is from Rfam by way of RNAcentral. Lineage: Eukaryota; Metazoa; Chordata; Actinopteri; Salmoniformes; Salmonidae.
AUUCCUGAUGCCAAAGUGAAGGAAUUCAAUGAAGGGCGGGUAAAGGGCGGGAGCUAUGACUCGAUUAAGGUAGCCAAAUGCCUCGUCAUCUAAUUAGUGACGCGCAUGAAUGGAU